UGGGGAAUAUUGCACAAUGGGGGAAACCCUGAUGCAGCAACGCCGCGUGAGUGAAGAAGUAUUUCGGUAUGUAAAGCUCUAUCAGCAGGGAAGAAAAUGACGGUACCUGACUAAGAAGCACCGGCUAAAUACGUGCCAGCAGCCGCGGUAAUACGUAUGGUGCAAGCGUUAUCCGGAUUUACUGGGUGUAAAGGGAGCGCAGGCGGUUUGGCAAGUCUGAUGUGAAAAUCCGGGGCUCAACCCCGGAACUGCAUUGGAAACUGUCAGACUAGAGUGUCGGAGAGGUAAGUGGAAUUCCUAGUGUAGCGGUGAAAUGCGUAGAUAUUACGCAGAACUCCGAUUGCGAAGGCAGCUUACCAAAUCGCUACUGACGCUGAGGCACGAAAGCGUGGGGAUCGAACAGGAUUAGAUACCCUGGUAGU
Molecule: ribosomal RNA, 422 nt
Filed under: uncultured Roseburia sp.
Lineage: Bacteria; Bacillati; Bacillota; Clostridia; Lachnospirales; Lachnospiraceae
Description: bacterial SSU rRNA
Rfam family: Bacterial small subunit ribosomal RNA
Source: RNAcentral